AGAAUCUACAGGCUAUUAAGAGUUGUCGCCGAAAAGCUAUUAUNGAGGAAGCCAGAAAACACAUGGACUACUUGGAAAGGAAAGUUACUGAAGAAACUGUUCANGUAAACAAGCAGGAAGAAAAGGAUGGUGUUCAAUCUUCACUUCUAUCCCUGCUAAUCUCGUAACACCUUGAAGAAAGAAGCUCAACCGCCAUGAAAUGACUUCAUGAUAUUUUCUAAAUCUAUGGUGACACAACACUGCUAUUGUAGUGAUUAUCACUUUUUUGUUCACAUCUCUGAGGUGUCAGAAAAACUUUACUGAGAAUGUUUUGUUUGUGAAAUUUAUCGCGCAUGUAUUAUGGGAUCAUCAGGGAUAUUAUAUAUGAGGUCUCCUGUACAGUUAAAGCUAGCGUCCUGUGAUUUCCUGUAUGUAUANCCUGGGAAAUCCUUACUUGGGAACGUUUGAUUUAAUAAACAUGAAAUAGUUUCAGA
Molecule: non-coding RNA, 473 nt
Organism: Mus caroli (Ryukyu mouse)
Lineage: Eukaryota; Metazoa; Chordata; Mammalia; Rodentia; Muridae
Source: RefSeq, a predicted model, not a curated record